Molecule: transfer RNA, 75 nt
Filed under: Microbacteriaceae bacterium
Lineage: Bacteria; Bacillati; Actinomycetota; Actinomycetes; Micrococcales; Microbacteriaceae
Description: tRNA-Arg
Rfam family: tRNA
About the family: Transfer RNA (tRNA) molecules are approximately 80 nucleotides in length.
Source: RNAcentral
GCCUCUGUAGCUCAAUGGAAGAGCAGUUCCGUCCUAAGGAAAGGGUUGGGAGUUCGAGUCUCUCCAGGGGCACGA